GCGAGAGUGGUGGAAUUGGCAGACACGCUAGACUUAGGAUCUAGUGCCUCACGGUGUAAGGGUUCAAGUCCCUUCUCUCGCA
RNAcentral lists this transfer RNA (82 nucleotides) under Spirochaetales bacterium. RNAcentral describes it as "tRNA-Leu". It matches the Rfam family "tRNA". Rfam says of the family: Transfer RNA (tRNA) molecules are approximately 80 nucleotides in length. Their secondary structure includes four short double-helical elements and three loops (D, anti-codon, and T loops). Lineage: Bacteria; Pseudomonadati; Spirochaetota; Spirochaetia; Spirochaetales. The record is from RNAcentral.